RNAcentral lists this ribosomal RNA (113 nucleotides) under Danio rerio (zebrafish). Lineage: Eukaryota; Metazoa; Chordata; Actinopteri; Cypriniformes; Danionidae. The record is from RNAcentral.
GCUGGCAGCUAGCUCUCUGUAACUCGCAUGGUCGCCCACUGAAGCUAAGCAGGGCUGCGCUCGGUCAGUACCUGGAUGGGAGACUACAUGGGAAAGUUUGGUUGCUGCCAGAA